GGGGGUGUUUUGGUUUCGACAGAAUAGAUCUUUGAGAUAAGGCGCGAGUCGAGGAGCUGCCCGGCCUCGUAAAAAGGCAGAAAAAAAUAAACGCAGAUAAUAGUGUUAAAGGCCCUUGGGCCACAGCUGCAGCUGCUUAAUUAAGUUAGUUGCCCAUUUUCUAGUCGAUGUUGGCUAGCUGGAAAAUGAUUUUAGCCAUCUAGUCUGGUUUGUUUGAUAAGCAAAUUAGUACGAAAUUGAUUAUCUCGCGUUAAGUUAACCCUGUUGCUGGGGAUGCUUAGCGUUAAAUUUAAACAGCAAAUACACUCGUAGUGGCUUAUUUUUUAGCUAUUUUGGACACCGGUUCAAUUCCGGUCACCUCCACCA
Molecule: transfer-messenger RNA, 366 nt
Filed under: Candidatus Marinamargulisbacteria
Lineage: Bacteria; Bacillati; Candidatus Margulisiibacteriota
Also listed under: 1 other name
Description: GCA-002719695 sp002719695 Standard tmRNA
Rfam family: transfer-messenger RNA
About the family: Bacterial tmRNA, also known as 10Sa RNA or SsrA, is named for its dual tRNA and mRNA-like properties. Its role is to liberate the mRNA from a stalled ribosome. To accomplish this part of the tmRNA is used as a reading frame that ends in a translation stop signal.
Source: RNAcentral